ACUCCUACGGGAGGCAGCAGUGGGGAAUAUUGCACAAUGGGGGAAACCCUGAUGCAGCCAUGCCGCGUGUGUGAAGAAGGCCUUCGGGUUGUAAAGCACUUUCAGUAGGGAGGAAGGUAGUGUAGUUAACACCUGCAUUAUUUGACGUUACCUACAGAAGAAGCACCGGCUAACUCCGUGCCAGCAGCCGCGGUAAUACGGAGGGUGCGAGCGUUAAUCGGAAUUACUGGGCGUAAAGCGCAUGCAGGCGGCCUGUUAAGUCAGAUGUGAAAGCCCGGGGCUUAACCUCGGAAAUUGCAUUUGAAACUGGCAGGCUAGAGUCUUGUAGAGGGGGGUAGAAUUUCAGGUGUAGCGGUGAAAUGCGUAGAGAUACUGAAGGAAUACCAGUGGCGAAGGCGGCCCCCUGGACAAAGACUGACGCUCAGAUGCGAAAAGCGUGGGGG
RNAcentral lists this ribosomal RNA (443 nucleotides) under uncultured bacterium. RNAcentral's name for it is "bacterial SSU rRNA". It matches the Rfam family "Bacterial small subunit ribosomal RNA", at positions 335 to 767 of the family's 1533-position model. The record is from RNAcentral.